AACCUGGUCUCAUCUCAGGCCUUGGACAGCUCUUCACUCACAACUGUCCCAUUCCCAUGCCCAGAUCAGCCCCACAUAUGUCUCUGUGUGUCUGAGUCUGGAAGAUACCACAGAUACCAUGUCAACAUUGCGUGGAGGCAAACCACCAGAGAGCCAGUUCACCGAUUUGCAGCUUGAUACUGCAUGAAUAUUUCAUGGCUGACCCCCUUCCUUUCUGGGCUUGAGUGACAUCGCUUUUUAAAAACUGCACCAUUGUUUCAGCCCCAGGGGUCUGUUGCUCCUGUUUUUCACUAAGCUGUUGCCUGUUUAGAUCAGGGUCAGCAGUGUGUCUCCACAUUGGUAGAACAUGUCUUUGUGUUCUUUAGAAUGGUAUAAUAUAAUCAAAACUUAAAAGAGUUACAUGUCACUUUGAUGACAUUCCAUAUGUUGAAAAAGAUAACACAUCAGUUUUGGAUUUCCCCAUUUUUAAUAAGAUUAAAGGGCUGUGGGAGUAUGGGACAAGCUACCCAGGCAUUAUGAUGACGCCGAUGUCCUGGUUUUCUUCAAGAAAUGGCUGGAUAUCCUCAGAUCACUUAACUACUAACUAGUGUGCUAAACAAGCUCCACUGGACACAUGGCCUCCUCAUUUGUAAGCUUUCUUAACGUUUGUAAUUAGACGCUGUCGAUGCAUGUUUUGAGCUAACAAAAAUCCUUGGUCUUGAAUUUGAGCGUUUCUCUCUUUUUGACCUUGGGGGAGUGGGGGUCAGGGCUCUUGUGUGGGGUAUGCUUUCUUAAACACAUCAGUAAUAGGAAUUAAUUGGAGCAUUAAAAACGCAUUUUUCCCGUCGUUCCAAAAACAGCCCCCAAGAGAGCGCCUGCACACAGCUGCUGCUUGUUGGACCCAGCUCGGGUGUGGCCCGAGGGCUCAGGACUGCAGAGCAAGGACUCUGGGGGUCUGGGGUCUGCCCGCAAAGGAAGCACAGCUCUCACUCCUCUAGGGAGACUCUGAGCUGUUGCGAGGUGUUUCGAGAUUGCUGCAGAUCCCCCUCUCUCUCCUCGCAAGCAUCACCUCGGCGGAGAGGAAGGCGCUGUGCACGCUCCCACACGCCUGCGCCUUCUCGGCGGAGAGCUCGCCGGCUCGCGGGUGACCGUGCCCUGAUGCCUCAGCGCUGGCUUGUGGUGCAGCGCCUCGUGCGCCGUUUUUUCUGUCGUGCUGGUGAGUGCGGGGAUUGACUGCCGUGGAGAUCUCUGGGCUCUUUCGCUUCAGAUCCCCCCCCCGUUGCCUGCUGUUCCAUCCCCCUCCCCAACUGUGAAAGGUCUCCUAUCCCCCUGCCUGCCCUGCUUUGCUGGUAGCCUCCACACGCUGCCUGGCUCAGUGCAUUUUGC
This 1365-nucleotide long non-coding RNA is filed under the name Lepisosteus oculatus (spotted gar). Its description in RNAcentral is "lncRNA (ENSLOCG00000021875.1)". The record is from RNAcentral. Lineage: Eukaryota; Metazoa; Chordata; Actinopteri; Semionotiformes; Lepisosteidae.